AGAGCGAACGCUGGCGGCAGGCCUAACACAUGCAAGUCGAGCGCCCGUAGCAAUACGGGAGCGGCAGACGGGAUAGUAACACGUGGGAACGCGCCCUUCGGUUCGGAAUAACUCAGGGAAACUUGAGCUAAUACCGAAUACGCCCUUACGGGGAAAGAUUUAUUGCCGAAGGAACGGCCCGCGUCCGAUUAGCUAGUUGGUGAGGUAAUGGCUCACCAAGGCUACGAUCGGUAGCUGGUCUGAGAGGAUGACCAGCAUCACUGGGACUGAGACACGGCCCAGACUCCUACGGGAGGCAGCAGUGGGGAAUAUGGACAAUGGGCGCAAGCCUGAUCCAGCCAUGCCGCGUGGAUGAUGAAGGCCUUAGGGUUGUAAAGUCCGUUUUAACGGGGAAGAUAAUGACGGUACCCGUAGAAUAAGCCCCGGCUAACUUCGUGCCAGCAGCCGC
Molecule: ribosomal RNA, 448 nt
Filed under: uncultured bacterium
Lineage: Bacteria
Description: SSU rRNA
Rfam family: Bacterial small subunit ribosomal RNA
Source: RNAcentral